Molecule: small RNA, 64 nt
Filed under: Sinorhizobium meliloti 2011
Lineage: Bacteria; Pseudomonadati; Pseudomonadota; Alphaproteobacteria; Hyphomicrobiales; Rhizobiaceae
Description: putative ncRNA
Source: RNAcentral
GUUUGAGAAAUGCGCGGGCGGCGGCUCCUCCUUCCGCCGCCCGGAUGCAUGAUCUCCACGGCGG